RNAcentral lists this non-coding RNA (28 nucleotides) under Homo sapiens (human). The record is from RNAcentral. Lineage: Eukaryota; Metazoa; Chordata; Mammalia; Primates; Hominidae.
CCCAAGGAAAUGUGCUUGGACUUGAUGU